Molecule: long non-coding RNA, 2529 nt
Organism: Callithrix jacchus (white-tufted-ear marmoset)
Lineage: Eukaryota; Metazoa; Chordata; Mammalia; Primates; Cebidae
Source: RefSeq, a predicted model, not a curated record
GGGAGGGAUGGAUUCUGGGGAGUCAAACACAACAGCAAUUCAAUGCAGACCCAAUCCAAAACUUCUCCACGUGUCUGUUUUAUCAUUAGAUUCUUAGAUGUGGGUUAUCUGGUUAGUGAUGGGAAACUGAUUUAAUUCAUUAAUUCAUUCAUCAAAUAACACACAGAGCCCUGGGGUGGAAAAGAGCUCAGCCCAUAAGAUAAGAGAAGAUGGGCCAGUGUAGAUGGGUCAGCGUGUGAGAGAGGGAGAGAUUUGGAUAAUGAGAUCAGCAAGCCCUUAAAGAUAGAAGAUGAGGUGAAUGUUUAUCCUGGGAGGUAUGGGAAGCCUUCAAAAGGUUUUCAAGCCACUUUCAAGAGAGUGGCUUGAUUGGAUGUCCGUUGGAAUAUCCACCUCCCCUCCUUCAGAAGCUUUGCUGUGACAAAUGGAUUGGAUGAGUCCAGAGCAGGAAGAGAUGCGUUGCAUGUGACCAUAAACAAACAAAUACAAAUAAAUUAAAAAACAGGCAGAAAGUUCUUCAUAGAACUGGGCCUUGAAGAACGUGUUUGCCAGCAGAAGAGAAUGAAGAAGUACGUUCUUGUUGGAGGGAACUGCAGGAAUCACAGUAUUUUGCCCUUCAGGAAGGCAAGAGGAAACUAAAGGUUGGUGACCCUUGACCUUCUCCAUAUGCCUCACAUGUCCAGCUCACAAGUGUCAGUUCAAGUUUAGCCUAAAGCUGCCUCCUUAGGUGUUUUCAGUGUGGUCUGAAGUGUUUUCUGUGCAUCGUGCACUGUAACAAGGGAGGUGUGAACCGGAGGUGAACCUACACUUGAGCCAGUCGCUGAGUUUUGGGCAGUCACAUGUAGCCAACGGGUCUAAUUGUGUUCAAACAAGGCAAACACUGAACUGUAAUCAAUCCAGCUGUGUCUGUACCUCACUUCUGUUUUCUGUAUGUCACCUACCUUUUUCUGUCCACAAAUCUUCCACCACAUGGCUGUGCUGGACUUUCAGCCUGCUCUGGCUCAAGGCUGCCUGAUUUGUGAAUCUUUCAUGGCUUAAUUAAACUCUAUUUAUUUUGAGAUGGAGUCUUGCUCUGUUGCCUGGGCUACAGUGCAGUGGCGCGAUCUCAGCUCACCACAACAAUCUCCGCCUCCUGUGUUCGAGCGAUUCUCAUGCCUCAGCCUUCCCAGUAGCUGGGAUUACAGACACCCGCCACCACACCCAGCUAAUUUUUUGUGUUUUAGUAGAGACGGGGUUUCAUCAUGUUGACCAGGCUGUUCUUGAACUCCUGACUUGAAGCCAUCUGCCCUCCUCAAGCUACCCAAAGUACUGGGAGUAUAGGUGUGAGCCACUGCGUCCGGCCAUUCACCUUCUUUACAUUUAAUUGGGCUGAAGUUCUUCUUUUAUCACAAGUCACAUCAAUCCCUCAGGCCCUGCUCAAAUGCCACCUCCCCCUGAAAGCCAUCGUUAAGUCGUCUCUCUAAAGAGCCACCCCAGCCCCUUUCUUUGCUUUAUCCUUCACGGCACUUAUCACUUCCUGAAAUUAUGCCACACAGCUAUUUACCAACUUGCCAUUGUGUUAGGCUUAUCAAGUAUGAAGCCAGACUGCUUGGGUUCAAAUCCCAGCACCACUACUUCCUUGCCAUGUGACCAUCACGUUCAGCCUAGGUUACAGUUUAGGGGUCAUAAUAGUACCUGUCUCAUAGGGCUUUGUGAGGAUAAAUGAAUCAGUGUGUGCACCAAUGUUCUAACGUUGCCUGAAUUUCCGUUUUCCCCAAAGCAGCCCAGUUACUUAUUAACAUACUGUUCUUUCCAGUAACCUGUGUUCACCGUUGUUAUGUCAAUCUCCUCGCUCUAUUUUGUUUUCCUUUGUAUCCCCAGUGACUAGAACAAUGCCUGUUGCAAAGCAAGCUUUGAGUUAAAAAAAUAAAAAAAAAAAGAUGAAAGAAUGAAAAUGACAGGCUGCCUAGCAGAACUGGCGCUUCACGAUGCUUCACUGUUGCUAUGGUGGCGAUCCAGUCUGCAGGAAGAUCCCAGCUUCCAUAACCUUGUCCCUUCCUGCAUCCGGCUCACCCAUUGGCCACCUGUGUGUCCCGCUGUAGCAGCCAGAAAACUGCAACUCCCAGCAGGCUGAGCGCCACCAGCACUUUCGCGCCUAGUCCCUUUGCUGAGAGUGAGCGCCUGCGCAGUAGAAUCCACUGGCCCAGAGCUCCAUCUGAGCAUGUGCAGGGGGCGGGGUGUUUCCUUUUUCGGCUGGCUGGAGAGGAGUGGGGAGGACCCGGUUACACGCUGAGCUCUCGGCUCUCCUUUUCCAGAGGGUCUGGGCACCGGGGCUGCCAACUCGGGGUGAGGAGUGGGGGCAGGAAACCUGCUUCGAUCUCCAUGGUUACGAGCCGCUCAGCGCGCUGGAGGAAGAUUCAAAGGAGGCCUUGUUGGUAGAAGGAAUGAAGGAACGCUGGACCAUCUAAACUAUUCCCUGGAUCUGGGACUCCCAGCCAAGCCCAGAAGCCAAGAACUCAUCACGGAAACCAAAAUAAGAUUGUUUUAUUCCAA